CUACGGGAGGCAGCAGUGGGGAAUUUUGGACAAUGGGCGCAAGCCUGAUCCAGCCAUGCCGCGUGCAGGAUGAAGGCCUUCGGGUUGUAAACUGCUUUUGUACGGAACGAAAAAGCCUUCUCUAAUAAAGGGGGUGAAUGACGGUACCGUAAGAAUAAGCACCGGCUAACUACGUGCCAGCAGCCGCGGU
Molecule: ribosomal RNA, 190 nt
Filed under: uncultured bacterium
Lineage: Bacteria
Description: partial 16S ribosomal RNA
Rfam family: Bacterial small subunit ribosomal RNA
Source: RNAcentral